UUACUCCAAGAGCAGAACACAUGAAGUGA
This 29-nucleotide non-coding RNA is filed under the name Homo sapiens (human). Lineage: Eukaryota; Metazoa; Chordata; Mammalia; Primates; Hominidae. The record is from RNAcentral.